This 373-nucleotide ribosomal RNA is filed under the name uncultured organism. RNAcentral's name for it is "partial 16S ribosomal RNA". It matches the Rfam family "Bacterial small subunit ribosomal RNA", at positions 527 to 896 of the family's 1533-position model. The record is from RNAcentral.
GUAGGUGGCAAGCGUUGUCCGGAAUUAUUGGGCGUAAAGCGCGCGCAGGGCGGUCCUUUAAGUCUGAUGUGAAAGCCCACGGCUCAACCGUGGAGGGUCAUUGGAAACUGGGGGGCUUGAGUACGGAAGAGGAAAGCGGAAUUCCAAGUGUAGCGGUGAAAUGCGUAGAGAUUUGGAGGAACACCAGUGGCGAAGGCGGCUUUCUGGUCUGUAACUGACGCUGAGGCGCGAAAGCGUGGGGAGCAAACAGGAUUAGAUACCCUGGUAGUCCACGCCGUAAACGAUGAGUGCUAAGUGUUAGGGGGUUUCCGCCCCUUAGUGCUGCAGCUAACGCAUUAAGCACUCCGCCUGGGGAGUACGGCCGCAAAGGCUG